AUAUCAGACAUCUUUCCAGGC
RNAcentral lists this non-coding RNA (21 nucleotides) under Arabidopsis thaliana (thale cress). Lineage: Eukaryota; Viridiplantae; Streptophyta; Magnoliopsida; Brassicales; Brassicaceae. The record is from RNAcentral.